This 515-nucleotide ribosomal RNA is filed under the name uncultured bacterium. RNAcentral describes it as "bacterial SSU rRNA". It matches the Rfam family "Bacterial small subunit ribosomal RNA", at positions 28 to 538 of the family's 1533-position model. The record is from RNAcentral.
GACGAACGCUGGCGGCGUGCCUAACACAUGCAAGUCGAGCGGAGUCGAUCGACGGAAGCCUUCGGGCGGAAGAUGGUUGACUUAGCGGCGGAUGGGUGAGUAACGCGUGGGCAACCUGCCUCGAAGACCGGGAUAACAGCCCGAAAGGGCUGCUAAUACCGGAUGUGGUCAAGGAUCCGCAUGGAUUUUUGAUUAAAGGGGAAACCCGUUUCGAGAUGGGCCCGCGUCCUAUCAGCUAGUUGGUGAGGUAAAAGCUCACCAAGGCGACGACGGGUAGCCGGCCUGAGAGGGUGACCGGCCACACUGGAACUGAGACACGGUCCAGACUCCUACGGGGGGCAGCAGUGGGGAAUCUUCCACAAUGGGCGAAAGCCUGAUGGAGCGACGCCGCGUGAGCGAAGAAGGCCUCGGUUGUAAGACUCUGUCUGAGGGACGAAGGAAGUGACGGUACCGUCCGGACGGAAGCCGACCGGCGUAACUACGUGCCAGCAGCCGCGGUAACGUAGUACGUCUAU